UGGGUAUCCCAGAUAUAUUUUUAAUUUUUAUCUUUAACUCUGACUAUGACCACAUUAAUUUUAAUUUUUAGCACAUACCAUAAUGAGAAUCUCUUAUCACACACUUUAGUUGCUUAUAAAUGUCAUAAGAGCAUUACUAUUGUCGUAGUUCUUUUUCUAAAACUUUUAUAUUAUUAUUUGAAAGUAAUUAACUAUUUACUAUAUAACAUUUUGAUUUUUGAAAAAUAAUUAAUUUUAUCAUUUAGAAGAAGUUAUGUGGGUUAAUUAUAAUCAUUUUUCUUCGUUUAUCAUAUUUUUAUUUUUUUUUGUUAUUAGUUUUUGGAGAAUAUUCUUGUAGAAACCGCUAUGCGAUUUUAUAAAGUAACAAGUUGAUACAUAUAUAUUUAUAUUGCAUGUAAUUUUUAACAUAUGGUAUUGGAAAAUUUGUAGUAAUGUAUUUUCUGUCGUUGUUCAUGGCCUUAGUCUUUUUCCUACCAAUUUCAAUGGGUUCACGGUCGCUUGACACCUUUGAAUUUG
RNAcentral lists this long non-coding RNA (516 nucleotides) under Brassica rapa (field mustard). RNAcentral's name for it is "long non-coding RNA (BRAP_LNC006726)". Lineage: Eukaryota; Viridiplantae; Streptophyta; Magnoliopsida; Brassicales; Brassicaceae. The record is from RNAcentral.